UGGGGAAUAUUGGACAAUGGGCGAAAGCCUGAUCCAGCAAUGCCGCGUGAGUGAUGAAGGCCUUAGGGUUGUAAAGCUCUUUUACCCGGGAUGAUAAUGACAGUACCGGGAGAAUAAGCUCCGGCUAACUCCGUGCCAGCAGCCGCGGUAAUACGGAGGGAGCUAGCGUUGUUCGGAAUUACUGGGCGUAAAGCGCACGUAGGCGGCUUUGUAAGUUAGAGGUGAAAGCCUGGGGCUCAACCCCAGAAUUGCCUUUAAGACUGCAUCGCUUGAAUCCAGGAGAGGUGAGUGGAAUUCCGAGUGUAGAGGUGAAAUUCGUAGAUAUUCGGAAGAACACCAGUGGCGAAGGCGGCUCACUGGACUGGUAUUGACGCUGAGGUGCGAAAGCGUGGGGAGCAAACA
Molecule: ribosomal RNA, 402 nt
Filed under: uncultured Sphingomonas sp.
Lineage: Bacteria; Pseudomonadati; Pseudomonadota; Alphaproteobacteria; Sphingomonadales; Sphingomonadaceae
Description: bacterial SSU rRNA
Rfam family: Bacterial small subunit ribosomal RNA
Source: RNAcentral